AGGGUUUGAUCCUGGCUCAGAACGAACGCUGGCGGCGUGGAUAAGGCAUGCAAGUCGAGGGAGAACCAGCUUCGGCUGGGGAGACCGGCGAAAGGGUGAGUAAUGCGUAGACAACCUACCCUCAAGACCGGAGUAACCGUUGGAAACGGCGGCUAAUACCGGAUGGUCCGGAGAGACCGCAUGGUCUUUUCGGUAAAAGGUUGCCUCUGAAUAUGCUUCUGCUUGAGGAGGGGUCUACGUCCUAUUAGCUUGUUGGUGAGGUAACGGCUCACCAAGGCUGUGAUGGGUAGCGGGGCUGAGAGGUUGGCCCGCCACACUGGGACUGAGACACUGCCCAGACUCCUACGGGAGGCUGCAGUCGAGAAUCUUCCGCAAUGGGCGCAAGCCUGACGGAGCGACGCCACGUGGGGGAUGAAGGCCUGUGGGUUGUAAACCCCUGACACCAGUUAAGAACCGGCAUCGGUCGAACAGGCCGGUGUCUUGACGAAAGCUGGAGAGGAAGCCACGGCUAACUACGUGCCAGCAGCCGCGGUAAUACGUAGGUGGCAAGCGUUGUUCGGAAUCACUGGGCAUAAAGGGUUCGUAGGCUUGAGGGUUGGAGAGGAGAGCGGAAUUCCUGGUGGAGCGGUGAAAUGCGUAGAUAUCAGGAGGAACGCCGGUGGCGAAAGCGGCUCUCUGGACAACUUCUGACGCUGAGGGACGAAAGCCAGGGGAGCGAACGGGAUUAGAUACCCCGGUAGUCCUGGCCGUAAACGAUGGGCACUAGACUGCCGGAUCCCCGAUGGUUCGGCGGUCGAAGCUAAUGUAUUAAGUGCCCCGCCUGGGGAGUACGGCCGCAAGGCUAAAACUCAAAGGAAUUGACGGGGGCUCACACAAGCGGUGGAGCAUGUUGCUUAAUUCGAAGCAACGCGAAGAACCUUACCUGGGUUUGACAUGCUGGUAGUACGACCCCGAAAGGGGAAGGACCCUAUGGGAGCCAGCACAGGUGUUGCAUGGCUGUCGUCAGCUCGUGCCGUGAGGUGUUGGGUUAAGUCCCUUAACGAGCGAAACCCUUGUCGUUAGUUGCCAGCGGGUAAUGCCGGGGACUCUAGCGAGACUGCCGGUGUUAAACCGGAGGAAGGUGGGGAUGACGUCAAGUCAGCAUGGCCCUUACGCCCAGGGCGGCAAACGUGCUACAAUGGCCGGUACAAUGCGCAGCGAGACCGUGAGGUGGAGCAAAUCGCAAAAAGCCGGUCCCAGUUCGGAUUGGAGAUUGCAAUUCAUCUCCAUGAAGUCGGAAUCGCUAGUAAUCGGAGGUCAGCCAUACUCCGGUGAAUAUGUUCCUGAGCCUUGUACACACCGCCCGUCAAGCCACGGGAGUCGGUAGCACCCGAAGUCGCCGACCCAACCUUUUGGGGAGGGAGGCGCCGACGGUGAGACUGAUGACUGGGACUAAGUCGUAACAAGGUA
RNAcentral lists this ribosomal RNA (1449 nucleotides) under metagenome. RNAcentral's name for it is "bacterial SSU rRNA". It matches the Rfam family "Bacterial small subunit ribosomal RNA". The record is from RNAcentral.